CAGACCUCUAAUCGGAAAG
RNAcentral lists this ribosomal RNA (19 nucleotides) under Isotheciastrum subdiversiforme. RNAcentral describes it as "Isothecium subdiversiforme partial 25S ribosomal RNA". The record is from RNAcentral. Lineage: Eukaryota; Viridiplantae; Streptophyta; Bryopsida; Hypnales; Lembophyllaceae.